CGUGUAGGCGGUUGUUCAAGUCGGGUGUGAAAGCCUUGAGCUCAACUCAAGAAAUGCACUCGAUACUGAAUGACUAGAGGACCGGAGAGGAUAGUGGAAUUCCCAGUGUAGUGGUGAAAUACGUAGAGAUUGGGAAGAACACCAGUGGCGAAGGCGGCUAUCUGGACGGUUUCUGACGCUAAGACGCGAAAGCGUGGGGAGCAAACAGGAUUAGAUACCCUGGUAGUCCACGCCGUAAACGAUGGGUGCUAGACGUUGGCGAGCUUGCUCGUCAGUGUCGCAGCUAACGCGUUAAGCACCCCGCCUGGGGAGUACGGCCGCAAGGUUGAA
Molecule: ribosomal RNA, 330 nt
Filed under: uncultured bacterium
Lineage: Bacteria
Description: bacterial SSU rRNA
Rfam family: Bacterial small subunit ribosomal RNA
Source: RNAcentral